CAAGGAAUUUUCCGCAAUGGGCGCAAGCCUGACGGAGCAACGCCGCGUGCGGGAUGACGCUUUUCGGAGUGUAAACCGCUGUUCGUGGGGACGAAGCACUGACGGUACCCACGGAGGAAGGCCCGGCUAACUACGUGCCAGCAGCCGCGGUAAUACGUAGGGGUCGAGCGUUGUCCGGAGUUACUGGGCGUAAAGCGCGUGCAGGUGGCUCAUUACGCCCGGCGUGAAAGCCCCCGGCUCAACCGGGGAGGGUCGUCGGGGACGGGUGAGCUUGAGGGUCGCAGGGGCUGGUAGAAUUCCCGGUGUAGUGGUGAAAUGCGUAGAGAUCGGGAGGAAUACCCGUGGCGAAGGCGGCCAGCUGGGCGACACCUGACACUGAGACGCGAAGGCGUGGGGAGCGAACGGG
RNAcentral lists this ribosomal RNA (406 nucleotides) under uncultured bacterium. RNAcentral describes it as "bacterial SSU rRNA". It matches the Rfam family "Bacterial small subunit ribosomal RNA", at positions 355 to 776 of the family's 1533-position model. The record is from RNAcentral.